CGCGGGGUGGAGCAAUUGGAAGCUCGUCAGGCUCAUAACCUGAAGGUUGCCGGUUCGAGUCCGGCCCCCGCAACCA
This 76-nucleotide transfer RNA is filed under the name bacterium. RNAcentral describes it as "tRNA-Met". It matches the Rfam family "tRNA". Rfam says of the family: Transfer RNA (tRNA) molecules are approximately 80 nucleotides in length. Their secondary structure includes four short double-helical elements and three loops (D, anti-codon, and T loops). The record is from RNAcentral.